GAAGAGAAACGCAAACCAGGUUGUUUGCGAUACGACACUCGUAAAACGCAGAAAAGGGACUGAGUGAGACAUAACAAAAAUCGAUGAUGCAAACUGUUAGACGUAAAUUUUGACCUAGGAGCAAUGAAUAACAAGUGGGUGGAAGUAGCUUACGACUGCUCACAGCAUACACCAUGAUUUGUUAGAUGUCAUUGCCGGAAGUGGUAGGCGUUAAAGUUUACCCAAUUAUGAAGAAUUAGGGUGGUCUUAAAAGGAAUCCAGUAGAAGAAGAGGCGGGCCAGAAAUAAAAAAUUGGUCGAUAGUUCAGUUGGAACGAUGGAAAGAAUCAGUUAACUACUCACUUCUGGAUGCAUAACUUGUGUCGGUUUAAACUCCGUUUAUCUUGUGUCAUUAAGACGUGUGAUAGGAAAGUGAAAUUGUGUGUUUUACAAUAAUAAUUAAGAAUAAAAAAGUGUUUAACUUGGCCAGAAUUCUAAAGGAAACCGAACUCACAUAUUUUCUCUACGUGAUUUGCCUCCUGAGAGACCAACCAAGAAGAUCGAGAAUUGGCCAGUAUGCAGAAACUGUAGUCCAGAAGAAUAGAGAAGUAUUAGAAAUAUAUUAUAUGAUACGUUCUUAAUAGAGAUAGAAACUCAACGCUGUGUAGAUAAAGAGUACCACCAUAUAACAUAUAACAAAUAAUAACCAAAAAUAAAAGGGAACGAAGAACUUUGUAACAUAAAAAUGGUGGUAGCGAAUAUGGGAUUCUAAGUGCAAAAGACCAACGCGUAUAGUGACUAAACACACAUACACACACCGACACAGUGGAGAUGUAAAAGGCGGAGAAAAUAUAAUACCUUCCAACAGACAUAUUAAUGACUUAUCGCUGAAAAGCGGAGAGCAUAGUGAUUAGCGCUAUAACAACGGAACCAACAACAACAAAAUUUCGAAGGCACAAACAUUCUACAAUUGAAGAAAAGAAUCACAGAGUUCAAUAACUCGAAGAACGAAGAAAAGGGAAAUUCGUCGAAGUGUAAGGAACUAUAUCUCCUAGACUGGGCACCCGCCUAGACUCAACAACUUCAUCAAAUUCAUCAAGCGGAAGUGACCUACUUCUCCCAGUGGCGAAAUGCAGUGAGAAGCUACGAAGAUUAGUGGACGUCCGUAAUGGUGUAGUCAUUGCAGAAUUCCUCAAUCCCCAAGCCAACUUGAUUGUUCAUAUUAGCGGAAAAACAGGAACUUCAAAUUCAGCACAGCAGAGCUUCAUAACAAACCAUUGACUGAAUUCUUCAAUCAACAUAAGAGCGCUAACCAUCAUUACGGUAGAGAUAGCGCCCAAUUCACCAACAGCGACGACAGUCAUCACGAAAGAGGACGGUGGUGACGGCAGUGAAAAAUUUACAAGGCAGCACGGAAGUGUUCGACGCAACCAGAAACCAAAGAAAGAAGAAUUGAAGGAAGAAAUCGUUAGAUGUAAUCAUAUAAGAAAAUUAUAUAGGCAAGAUAGGGACUACAUAGUACGAUAAGACUUCUGCCAACGUGAAGAUAAUUUUGGUGACCAGUCACUAACUCGCAACCUCGUACUUCAACUCACCUUAGCAGCGCCCUCUUGGUAGCCAUCAUUAUCGUAUGUGUACCUGAAGACUCCUACAGGCUGGCCAUUAGUAGCAGAUCCCUUGGUUUCACGCAUCUUUCUUAUAUGGUGGGGGCAGAAGUCAGGUAAGGCUCUGAAGAGAUCCAUACCCUUAUGUUCACCCUUAACGAGAGUGUAUAUGAUUCCCAGAGGAAUGAACACCACAGAUACUGCAAACAAGAGCCAACCAAGAGACUGUAUGUUGUCUGGAUACACAUAGCUUCCCCAGGAGGCCGGGACGUAGUAGUAGAUGGACAAAAUGAAGAUGAUCUGGAAUGAAGAGAAUUUUGCUUUAUGUAUCAAUCUCCAUUAGAUAUGGAAGAGGUGGCCAGUAUUUCACUGACGUGCAAAAAUUACCUUAUCACUUUUAAAACUAUUUAAUCUCACGCCAGCUAGUUGUUUAUUAGAAUAAAUUAAUUUCCGCUCAUUUAGAUUAAAUGAGAACCAUCUUAAAACAUAAGACUUCAACGGCAAAUCGUUGAAAUGUCUAGACCUGUGGUCCUUAAACUUUUUUUUUUUUUUGGCAGUGACCCAAAAUCUUGUCCAAAUUAACCAUGGCGACCCAUGCCUUCAUACAAAAAAUUUUUGUACAAUUAUUCACAUGAAAAAAUGUUUUACAGAAACAAAAAUGACUUGCAGAGGUAUUUAUUAAUGCAAGUAACAUACCUGCAUAACAACGAUCCAUGAAAGAGAAACAAUGCAUUAACUCGCUUAAAGAAAACCGAAACAUUUUUGUUUCGUGAUAUAAAAUUAAAAGUAUAAUUAGGCUAUGAUUUACCACUGUGGAGGAAGAAAAUCAAAAUCAUUCAUGCAAGCCUACUUAACAUGUAGUAGGCUACUAUUACAAUCGAUGAGAACCUUGACACUGGAUUGUUUUGAGCAGCUCCUCAAAUCUGGGUCGUUUUGACGAUAGAUUGGAUCCCAGGCCAUCCUCUGGUUGCAGGCGGUUUCCGCACUGCUGAAAAUCCUGCCUCACACAAGAACGUUGUAGCAGAGGGAAGGAAUGCUUUUUCAGGGCUUCACCUCCGAGAAUCGGCAUUGCUUCGUAUACUAUUACCCAAAAUGAGGUCGGUGUUUUGCCUUUUGAAAUUGUAAAGAAGCGUUUCAUCAUUUUGAAUCUCGAUAAGCUGCUCCCGUAGCUUGCUGAUGUUGGGAAGAUUUUUGUCUCUCUAUAAUGUUCCGCUUAGGUAUCAACGAAUGAUGCAUUUUUAAUACAAUAUUUUCUCUUAAUAAUGAUAAUAAAUAUAGUGAGAGCAUUGUGGAAAUAAUAUAUAACCCAUUGAAAUGGUUUGGCGACCCAACUUUUGGGUCACAACCCUAGGCUUAAGAACCACUGGUCUAGACCAACAACCAUGACUCUUCAGCAGGAUAAAGACAUUGCAAGUAAAUGUAUGGCUCUGUCAGACAGCUUCUAAGCAUAAAAGACGCUGAAAUGGAGAAAUGGAAAUUCUUGGGGCUGUCAGGUAAAGCAUUUGACAAAAACCUUGCAUUUAUCUGAAAACAAAAAAAAAGCAAUACUCACAAUGAGGGACGCUGGUGUGAUCACUGUCCAAGUGGCCAUCCAAUAACCAUAAAGUGGAGCGGGAACCCAUAUCCCCAUUUCUUCAGUUAUGAAGCGCAUGAACUUCUUGAAUCC
This is a long non-coding RNA of Macrobrachium nipponense, 3248 nucleotides long. RefSeq lists it as uncharacterized. The transcript has 3 exons. The record is from RefSeq and is a predicted model, not a curated record. NCBI's taxonomy places the organism in Eukaryota, Metazoa, Arthropoda, Malacostraca, Decapoda, Palaemonidae.